This 402-nucleotide ribosomal RNA is filed under the name uncultured Rhizobium sp. Its description in RNAcentral is "bacterial SSU rRNA". It matches the Rfam family "Bacterial small subunit ribosomal RNA", at positions 353 to 772 of the family's 1533-position model. Lineage: Bacteria; Pseudomonadati; Pseudomonadota; Alphaproteobacteria; Hyphomicrobiales; Rhizobiaceae. The record is from RNAcentral.
AGUGGGGAAUAUUGGACAAUGGGCGCAAGCCUGAUCCAGCCAUGCCGCGUGAGUGAUGAAGGCCUUAGGGUUGUAAAGCUCUUUCACCGAUGAAGAUAAUGACGGUAGUCGGAGAAGAAGCCCCGGCUAACUUCGUGCCAGCAGCCGCGGUAAUACGAAGGGGGCUAGCGUUGUUCGGAAUUACUGGGCGUAAAGCGCACGUAGGCGGAUAUUUAAGUCAGGGGUGAAAUCCCGCAGCUCAACUGCGGAACUGCCUUUGAUACUGGGUAUCUUGAGUAUGGAAGAGGUAAGUGGAAUUCCGAGUGUAGAGGUGAAAUUCGUAGAUAUUCGCAGGAACACCAGUGGCGAAGGCGGCUAACUGGUCCAUAACUGACGCUGAGGUGCGAAAGCGUGGGGAGCAAA